RNAcentral lists this ribosomal RNA (510 nucleotides) under uncultured bacterium. RNAcentral describes it as "partial 16S ribosomal RNA". It matches the Rfam family "Bacterial small subunit ribosomal RNA", at positions 28 to 507 of the family's 1533-position model. The record is from RNAcentral.
GACGAACGCUGGCGGCGUGCUUAACACAUGCAAGUCGAACGAAGAGCGAUGGAAGCUUGCUUCUAUCAAUCUUAGUGGCGAACGGGUGAGUAACGCGUAAUCAACCUGCCCUUCAGAGGGGGACAACAGUUGGAAACGACUGCUAAUACCGCAUACGAUCUAAUCUCGGCAUCGAGGAUAGAUGAAAGGUGGCCUCUACAUGUAAGCUAUCACUGAAGGAGGGGAUUGCGUCUGAUUAGCUAGUUGGAGGGGUAACGGCCCACCAAGGCGAUGAUCAGUAGCCGGUCUGAGAGGAUGAACGGCCACAUUGGGACUGAGACACGGCCCAGACUCCUACGGGAGGCAGCAGUGGGGAAUCUUCCGCAAUGGACGAAAGUCUGACGGAGCAACGCCGCGUGAGUGAUGACGGCCUUCGGGUUGUAAAGCUCUGUUAAUCGGGACGAAAGGCCUUCUUGCGAAUAGUGAGAAGGAUUGCCGGUACCGGAAUAGAAAGCCACGGCUAACUACGUG